GUGCCAGCCGCCGCGGUAAUACCGGCAGCCCAAGUGAUGGCCGCUGUUAUUGGGCCUAAAGCGUCCGUAGCUGGCCGCACGAGUCCGUCGGGAAAUCCGCCCGCUCAACGGGCGGCCGUCCGGCGGAACCUGUGUGGCUUGGGACCGGAAGACCGAAGGGGUACGUCCGGGGUAGGAGUGAAAUCCUGUAAUCCUGGACGGACCACCGGUGGCGAAAGCGCCUUCGGAAGACGGAUCCGACAGUGAGGGACGAAAGCUAGGGUCUCGAACCGGAUUAGAUACCCGGGUAGUCC
Molecule: ribosomal RNA, 293 nt
Filed under: uncultured bacterium
Lineage: Bacteria
Description: partial 16S ribosomal RNA
Rfam family: Archaeal small subunit ribosomal RNA
Source: RNAcentral